UAAAUAGAAUUUAUGAAUUUUAAGUAAUAAAUAUAUAAUUAACGUAUAUUUAUUUUAUUUUAAGUACGUUCUAAAUAUUUAACGAUUUUUGAACUUUAUUAUAUUUAUAUAUCAAAUGUAUAUUUAAUUUUAUUUAAAUAUAUUCUAAAUAUUUUAACGGGUUGUGCAAUCAAAAAUGAUGUUUGAAUUUUAAGUUGAAAAGAAUUCGAAUUACGAAAAUCGAUUGAAUUUAGAAAACGAUCCUAUUCGGUUUUAGAUUCAAAUCCUAAAACUAAUAUCCUAAGUCUAGCCCAAAUGGGUAAAGCCCAAUAAUAUAAACCAAUAAACCCCAUACUCCCUUCCUCCUUAACUUCACGUGAAAACAAAAGAAAAAAAAAAAAAAAAAAACCCUCAUCCUUCUCCUUCACGUGAACCACCCUACUCCUCUUGAUUUCGCACCACCGUACUCUUUGUAGCCGUCGCCGCCAACCACCGUCGGACCUCCGCCCCUGCGCCACCGCCCUUCGCCGUACCCUCUGUAUCGCCGCCGCCGAAAGGACCAGCCACCGCCCUCCUUCAUCUCUCCACUUGUUGCUUCUCUGUUUCUUGCUCAGCCACGUGCAACCACCACCGCGACCACCUGCAGCCACCUGCUGCGUCGCCUAGCUCCGCGACCGCCCAGCUCCCUCCGCCGCUCAACUCCCUCGCUGCCGCCGCCCCUGCCGCCGGCCAGCUCUCUCUCUCUUCUCUUUUUGGCGGAGAAUUCUUUGUAGGCGAUUUUUGAAUUCGUUAAAGUGGCCUAUCAGUUUGUUUACACAAGUCUCUAAGGAUCAAUAAGCAUUGUCCAUUUGCAGGUUUGAAGAGGUUGCAUCAUUGGGAUCGGGAAUAGAGAGCUUGUAUUUAGUUUUGAAUUGCUAAGUUAACUUGGGUUUGUUAAUUGGGACUUUAAACUUGUCGUACUAUUUAUAUUUCCUUAUUUUCGUUGGAUGAUUUUUGGGGACUAAAUCUGUAAUCGAUUAUUUAUAAACCUAA
This is a long non-coding RNA of Spinacia oleracea (spinach), 1011 nucleotides long. RefSeq lists it as uncharacterized. NCBI's taxonomy places the organism in Eukaryota, Viridiplantae, Streptophyta, Magnoliopsida, Caryophyllales, Amaranthaceae. The transcript is spliced from 4 exons. The record is from RefSeq and is a predicted model, not a curated record.